RNAcentral lists this ribosomal RNA (723 nucleotides) under gamma proteobacterium IMCC14382. RNAcentral's name for it is "bacterial SSU rRNA". It matches the Rfam family "Bacterial small subunit ribosomal RNA", at positions 28 to 749 of the family's 1533-position model. The record is from RNAcentral. Lineage: Bacteria; Pseudomonadati; Pseudomonadota; Gammaproteobacteria.
AAUUGACGCUGGCGGCAGGCCUAACACAUGCAAGUCGAGCGCGAAAGCACUUCGGUGUGAGUAGAGCGGCGGACGGGUGAGUAACGCGUAAGAAUCUACCUAGUAGUGGGGGACAACUCGAGGAAACUCGAGCUAAUACCGCAUACGCCCUACGGGGGAAAGCGGGGGACCUUCGGGCCUCGCGCUAUUAGAUGAGCUUGCGUUGGAUUAGCUUGUUGGUGAGGUAAUGGCUCACCAAGGCUACGAUCCAUAGCUGGUCUGAGAGGAUGAUCAGCCACACCGGGACUGAGACACGGCCCGGACUCCUACGGGAGGCAGCAGUGGGGAAUAUUGCGCAAUGGGCGAAAGCCUGACGCAGCCAUGCCGCGUGUGUGAAGAAGGCCUUAGGGUUGUAAAGCACUUUCAAUUGGGAGGAAAAGUUAACGACUAAUACUCGUUAGCCUUGACGUUACCUUUAGAAGAAGCACCGGCUAACUCCGUGCCAGCAGCCGCGGUAAUACGGAGGGUGCAAGCGUUAAUCGGAAUUACUGGGCGUAAAGCGCGCGUAGGCGGCUUUUUAAGUCGGAUGUGAAAGCCCCGGGCUCAACCUGGGAACUGCAUCCGAUACUGGAAGACUAGAGUGCGAGAGAGGGAGGUAGAAUUCCAUGUGUAGCGGUGAAAUGCGUAGAUAUAUGGAGGAAUACCAGUGGCGAAGGCGGCCUCCUGGCUCGACACUGACGCUGA